UACGUAGGGUGCGAGCGUUAAUCGGAAUUACUGGGCGUAAAGCGUGCGCAGGCGGUUUUGUAAGCCAGAUGUGAAAUCCCCGGGCUUAACCUGGGAAUGGCAUUUGGGACUGCAAGGCUUGAGUGCGGCAGAGGAGACUGGAAUUCCUGGUGUAGCAGUGAAAUGCGUAGAGAUCGAGCGGAACACCAGUGGCGAAGGCAGCUCGCUGGGACGUAACUGACGCUGAGACGCGAAAGCGUGGGGAGCAAACAGG
Molecule: ribosomal RNA, 253 nt
Filed under: uncultured bacterium
Lineage: Bacteria
Description: partial 16S ribosomal RNA
Rfam family: Bacterial small subunit ribosomal RNA
Source: RNAcentral